Molecule: non-coding RNA, 103 nt
Organism: Pelobates cultripes (western spadefoot toad)
Lineage: Eukaryota; Metazoa; Chordata; Amphibia; Anura; Pelobatidae
Source: the annotation of a GenBank genome assembly
CCCUCCCUCCCAGACCCUCCCACCUCCUGGACAGCAUCCAUGCAGCAUCAUUGUGAAUGUAUUCUGGAGCUGUCCAGGAGGUGGGAGGGUCUGGGAGGGAGGG